Equus quagga is the source of this 1149-nucleotide long non-coding RNA. RefSeq lists it as uncharacterized. The record is from RefSeq and is a predicted model, not a curated record. Lineage: Eukaryota; Metazoa; Chordata; Mammalia; Perissodactyla; Equidae. The transcript has 3 exons.
ACAGAGAAAGAGUUUUUAUUACAUGAACUUCUCAGCACCUGAUUGCAUGGUGAUGCUAGAAAACGCGCCCCCCACAUCACCAUAAACCUCACUUUUUUUUCUUCCAACCACAAAAAGCUUUACUACUGAAUUAUCAAGAGAAAAAAAAAAUCUUCAAAUUUUUUCCAGACCCAGAAUUUCCUAGUGGCAAGAUCUACCUUAUAAUCCAAGAAAACAGGCAAGGAUCUUGAAAUCUUUGUGUGAAAUUAUUCCUGGAAGAAGCUCUGUGAUAACUUGACCUGGAACACAGCCCAGGAGCCAUCAGCCUCUCGGGAUGUUCAACGUCCAGCUGGGAAGGGUAGGGUUGGAAGGUUCAACUCGCCAGAGCAAGUGGGCCAAGUAGGGUUUUCGGUAAGUUACGGAAAGCGGCAAACCCAAACAUGUGAAGGGAGAUAGGGCAGCAUACAACGAAAAACCCAAAUCUUGACUUUUUCCGUGUUUCAUCUAAAAUGUCUCUAUAUUGAAACUUCCACAGAUCCCCGGCAGACGUGCACCCUGUCACACCGUCGGAUGUACAUCAGUUAGGAUGCUUUCGCCGAUACUCAGCAGCAUGGACCUGUUAACCUGAAAAUACCCGGUUGCGAUCUGAAUGUGUGUGUCAGCUCCUGUCUCCUCCCUGGGCCCAGGCGAGCCCAGCGCAGACUGAGGCUGAGAUGACCAUCUUCUUGCUGUGUCCCCACGUGGUCUUUCCUCUGUGCACACGUGCUCCUGUUGUACCUUCUUAUGAGGACAUCUGCCCUACCGGAUUAGGGUCCCACUCUAAGGCUCGUUUAAGCUUAAUUUCCUCCUUAAGGGUCCUGUCUCCAAAUACAGUCACAUUGGGGGUUGGGGCUUCAACAAAUUAAUCUGGGAGGGACACAGUUCAGUCCACAGAAAGUGUCUAACACACAGGGAAUAGGUCCUCCAUAAGCACUUUCUUUGGUGAUACGCAUCCUCUUUUGCCCUUUGCCCUUUAUGUUUCUGCGCCACCCUUUACCCCUCUGCAAUCACCUCCUAAACUAAGCACUAUGGCUUCUGGUCUAUCGAGGGAGCAGCACUGUGUGCAGCUGCAGACUAGGAAUCUCAGUGCCAGAGUUCAGCUGCGCUCUGGUCCCAAACAUCUAUGUGACC